GUGCCAGCAGCCGCGGUAAUACGUAGGUGGCGAGCGUUGUCCGGAAUUACUGGGUGUAAAGGGCGUGUAGGCGGGGCGUCAAGUCAGGUGUGAAAGACCGGGGCUCAACCUCGGGUAUGCAUCUGAAACUGAUGCUCUUGAGUGUCGGAGAGGAAAGCGGAAUUCCCAGUGUAGCGGUGAAAUGCGUAGAGAUUGGGAGGAACACCAGUGGCGAAGGCGGCUUUCUGGACGACAACUGACGCUGAGGCGCGAAAGCGUGGGGAGCAAACAGGAUUAGAUACCCUGGUAGUCCACGCUGUAAACGAUGGAUACUAGGUGUAGGAGGUAUCGACCCCUUCUGUGCCGGAGUUAACACAAUAAGUAUCCCACCUGGGGAGUACGGCCGCAAGGCUGAAACUCAAAUGAAUUGACGG
Molecule: ribosomal RNA, 413 nt
Filed under: uncultured bacterium
Lineage: Bacteria
Description: bacterial SSU rRNA
Rfam family: Bacterial small subunit ribosomal RNA
Source: RNAcentral